This 1754-nucleotide ribosomal RNA is filed under the name Salmonella enterica. Its description in RNAcentral is "partial 23S ribosomal RNA". It matches the Rfam family "Bacterial large subunit ribosomal RNA", at positions 1198 to 2925 of the family's 2925-position model. The record is from RNAcentral. Lineage: Bacteria; Pseudomonadati; Pseudomonadota; Gammaproteobacteria; Enterobacterales; Enterobacteriaceae.
AGCUGCGGCAGCGACGCUGAUGCGUUGUUGGGUAGGGGAGCGUUCUGUAAGCCUGCGAAGGUGGCCUGUGAGGGUUGCUGGAGGUAUCAGAAGUGCGAAUGCUGACAUAAGUAACGAUAAAGCGGGUGAAAAGCCCGCUCGCCGGAAGACCAAGGGUUCCUGUCCAACGUUAAUCGGGGCAGGGUGAGUCGACCCCUAAGGCGAGGCCGAAAGGCGUAGUCGAUGGGAAACGGGUUAAUAUUCCCGUACUUGGUGUUACUGCGAAGGGGGGACGGAGAAGGCUAUGUUGGCCGGGCGACGGUUGUCCCGGUUUAAGCGUGUAGGUGUGUGUUCCAGGUAAAUCCGGUUCACUUUAACACUGAGGCGUGAUGACGAGGCACUACGGUGCUGAAGCAACAAAUGCCCUGCUUCCAGGAAAAGCCUCUAAGCAUCAGGUAACAUCAAAUCGUACCCCAAACCGACACAGGUGGUCAGGUAGAGAAUACCAAGGCGCUUGAGAGAACUCGGGUGAAGGAACUAGGCAAAAUGGUGCCGUAACUUCGGGAGAAGGCACGCUGACACGUAGGUGAAGUGAUUUACUCAUGGAGCUGAAGUCAGUCGAAGAUACCAGCUGGCUGCAACUGUUUAUUAAAAACACAGCACUGUGCAAACACGAAAGUGGACGUAUACGGUGUGACGCCUGCCCGGUGCCGGAAGGUUAAUUGAUGGGGUCAGCGCAAGCGAAGCUCCUGAUCGAAGCCCCGGUAAACGGCGGCCGUAACUAUAACGGUCCUAAGGUAGCGAAAUUCCUUGUCGGGUAAGUUCCGACCUGCACGAAUGGCGUAAUGAUGGCCAGGCUGUCUCCACCCGAGACUCAGUGAAAUUGAACUCGCUGUGAAGAUGCAGUGUACCCGCGGCAAGACGGAAAGACCCCGUGAACCUUUACUAUAGCUUGACACUGAACAUUGAGCCUUGAUGUGUAGGAUAGGUGGGAGGCUUUGAAGUGUGGACGCCAGUCUGCAUGGAGCCGGCCUUGAAAUACCACCCUUUAAUGUUUGAUGUUCUAACGUGGACCCGUGAUCCGGGUUGCGGACAGUGUCUGGUGGGUAGUUUGACUGGGGCGGUCUCCUCCUAAAGAGUAACGGAGGAGCACGAAGGUUGGCUAAUCCUGGUCGGACAUCAGGAGGUUAGUGCAAUGGCAUAAGCCAGCUUGACUGCGAGCGUGACGGCGCGAGCAGGUGCGAAAGCAGGUCAUAGUGAUCCGGUGGUUCUGAAUGGAAGGGCCAUCGCUCAACGGAUAAAAGGUACUCCGGGGAUAACAGGCUGAUACCGCCCAAGAGUUCAUAUCGACGGCGGUGUUUGGCACCUCGAUGUCGGCUCAUCACAUCCUGGGGCUGAAGUAGGUCCCAAGGGUAUGGCUGUUCGCCAUUUAAAGUGGUACGCGAGCUGGGUUUAGAACGUCGUGAGACAGUUCGGUCCCUAUCUGCCGUGGGCGCUGGAGAACUGAGGGGGGCUGCUCCUAGUACGAGAGGACCGGAGUGGACGCAUCACUGGUGUUCGGGUUGUCAUGCCAAUGGCACUGCCCGGUAGCUAAAUGCGGAAGAGAUAAGUGCUGAAAGCAUCUAAGCACGAAACUUGCCCCGAGAUGAGUUCUCCCUGAGACUUAGAGUCUCCUGAAGGAACGUUGAAGACGACGACGUUGAUAGGCCGGGUGUGUAAGCGCAGCGAUGCGUUGAGCUAACCGGUACUAAUGAACCGUGAGGCUUAACCUUACA